GGAAAGCAGAAAGGGAGGCUAAGAGGAAGAAAAUCUUUUAUGUAAGGCGUGAAGAGGAGAGGAUUAGAAUAUUACGUGAAGAGGAGGAAGCACGCAAGCGUGAAGAGUCCGAGAGGAAAAAGAGAGAAGAAGCUGAACGCAAGGCUAAAUUGGAUGAAAUUGCUGAGAAGCAGAGACAAAGGGAGCGAGAAUUGGAAGAAAAGGAAAGACUGCGGAAAGAAAUGCUCUUUGGUGGUGGCAGAUCAACUGAUCCGCCUGCUAGACCUGAUGUUGCUACCGGUUCUCAGCCUCUGGAGUCUGGAACCGCUGCUCCUGCUGCAGCAGCCGCCGCCGCCUCCGCCACAUCUCCAGCAAAAUACGUGCCAAGGUUUCGACGGACAGAAGGCUCUAGCCCUAAUGCACCACCACCUGAAUCCGAUCGAUGGGGAAGCAGCAGGCCUAAUAAUCGACCAUCUCAACCGGAUAGCUGGCGCAGUGAUGACCGUAGACCGGCUCUUGGAAGUUCAAGGUCGUCAUGGUCCUCAUCCCGAGCUUCUACUCGUUCUAGCACGGACCGUUGAUUGUGGUUAGCAAGUCUGGCAAAGUUGUUAUGAAUUUGG
This 599-nucleotide unclassified non-coding RNA is filed under the name Hevea brasiliensis (rubber tree). Lineage: Eukaryota; Viridiplantae; Streptophyta; Magnoliopsida; Malpighiales; Euphorbiaceae. The record is from RNAcentral.